Long non-coding RNA from Phyllopteryx taeniolatus (common seadragon), 5227 nucleotides. RefSeq lists it as uncharacterized. The transcript is spliced from 3 exons. The record is from RefSeq and is a predicted model, not a curated record. Lineage: Eukaryota; Metazoa; Chordata; Actinopteri; Syngnathiformes; Syngnathidae.
UUUUUUUUUUUUUAUAAAUCUCCCUGCCUUUCCUAGUUUACAAUAUGUGACAACAAACAACAAUGCAUAGUCCUUCGGUGAACGUGUUGAGUGAACGUGAACCUCAGGGAUGGGUCAUUCACUGAAUGAGGAAGCAUUUCACAAUGAUUUUGUGAAAAAGAACUCAACGAUUCGGUGAACACAUUUUUGGAACAAAUCUUUUUAAAGAACUGAUUUGAAUGAUUCAGUACACUCAAAAGAACUGCCGUGCCCAUCGCUACACCAAAUGGGUACUAGUUGAGUUGAGUCCUUUCCAGAGAAGUGGAAAUUUGCAAACAGACAAAUGUGUCUGUGAUUGCACAAUCAAUGUAAGUAUCUUAUCUGCAGUUAUUCAACUUUUUGUUUCAGGAUAAUUUGUUGGGGUUAUUUACUGCUGUACUGGGCCACUGGGUUGUGCUCAGGUGCUCCACAAUAUGCUAAAACAUACACUCUUUGGCACAGGUGUCAAACUGGUGGUCCGGGGGCCAGAUCCGGCCCGCGUCAUCAUUUUAUGUUGCCCGCGAGAGUGCAUCAACUUUGUUUCUUGCUAAAAUACCAAAAUUCCAAAUUGGGUUCACUUUUAAAAAUAGAGAUAUUGCAAGCAUUUUUUUGUUACCAACCCCAAUUUUAAAAUAAAAUUGAUUCAUACUGUAGCUGAACAAACAGUUUUUACUUGCUUUUGAUUUCAAAAGUAAUUAUCCAUUAAUUUGUGUGUAUGUAAUAUUACGAGGCAGUCAUACAUUCAUAUGGGUUUGCAGCCAUAACGGCCCUCCGAGUGGAACCAUAACUGCGAUGUGGCCCAUGACAAAAAUGUGUUUGACACCGCUGCUCUAUGGCUAAGGUACACCUAGAUAAUGCAUGUGGUAAAUUACUGAAACGAUAGAAACUAUUUACAUUCACAAACAGUCAUUUGAUUGAGGAAUUUUGUCCGUGUGAGAUGCCCUUUUUACAAAUGUGCAGAAUCAUAUUGCCAAGUUCAAAGUACUUUUCAUCUUGUCUAAAAUUUGCCACGGUUAUUCAAUGAAGCUGUAGUGUCCUCUGGUUGUCAAGUGUAAGCCAUUGUAACAAAUCGCAGGUAGGCUGUGGUCUGAUGAUUAUGAUCAUGAUGAUUAUACCAAUACCCACAAAAUGUGUGUCAUCAUUUACUGAAAAUAUAGAAAUGACACAAAGUUACAUGAAUUGGGAAACCAAUGCUACAUGUGAUAGACUACUUUAAACUGCAACCUAUACUACAAACAUGGAAUCCAGAGAUUGAACUACAGAUGUGCUAAUAUACACACAGGGCACAUUCAGUCAUUUUUUGCAUUGUUGAGCUUGACAGGAACCUUACCUUUGUUUUACAGGAUGGAUUCAAAUUUUCAAAAAUUCCUUCAAGAGCACCGAAGGUUAGAUGAUAAUGUCAUUGCCACCUUUAUUGAGGAGAAGAUUGAUUGCUAAGCUGUCAAUGCAAAGACAGAUCAGGAGCUGACAGAAUAUGUUCCCCAAACUGGAGACUGAAUUGCAAUACAUCAGUACUGCAGAAGCGAAGUGGUUUUGUUUGAAGGAACCAACAGAACCAUAUCCAAAGCAACUGAAUCUUUGAUUUCAAAAAUUAAACAAAGAAUGAUGACCAUCUGAUCUGGCUCCAGACGUCGCCUCCAGACUCCGGCCCACAUUCCUGCAUUCAAUGUUUAUAGUGGCUCCCCGCAGUUCCUUUCUUCCUUGACAUCUGUUUCUUAUUGUCUCCAAAUACCCCCCGAUGGGGGGCCUUCCUGCAAUAAUCUCCUACCCCCCUAUCUGAUUGUAUUGCAAUACACAUCCUUGCUCUUCCAAACUAGUUACACCAUGAAACUCUAUAUUAUAUUCUAUUACAUAUAGAAUUACAUAUUAGAAUAUAAAGUAUUCUAUAUUCCCUUCAGUGAUAAAAUUAUUUAAUAAUUGGAGUAUCAUUUAUCAUAUUUAUUUACAUAGGCUAGAAGAAUAGGGCGGCACGGUGGCCGACUGGUUAGAGCGUCAGCCUCACAGUUCUGAGGUGCGGGGUUCAAUCCCCGUCCCCGCCUGUGUGGAGUUUGCAUGUUCUCCCCGUGCCUGCGUGGGUUUUCUCCGGGCACUCCGGUUUCCUCCCACAUCCCAAAAACAUGCAUUAAUUGGAGACUCUAAAUUGCCCGUAGGCAUGACUGUGAGUGCGAAUGGUUGUUUGUUUCGAUGUGCCCUGCGAUUGGCUGGCAACCAGUUCAGGGUGUACCCCGCCUCCUGCCCGAUGACAGCUGGGAUAGGCUCCAGCACGCCCGCGACCCUAGUGAGGAGAAGCGGCUCAGAAAAUGGAUGGAUGGAUGGAUGGAUAGAAGAAUAGGUUUAUAUUUACAGUUCUGAAAUGUAAAUGUCAGUGCAAUGUUGAGCUGUAACUACCAAUAGAAACAGGUGAAUAUGUUUUAACACAGAUGAACCUCAUGGCAUGCUUAUACAAAGACAUCUUGUUAAAAAGGGGGCAGGGUUCCUCGGUGAGAGGGUUUUCUAUUUUCCUUCCUAAGAAAAAGUUUGGGAACCCUUGUAAGGAAUAAGGCUGCUAACUAGGACCCCUUUGGGCAAACAUCUAGAUAUCUUCCAGAACACUCCUUAAAUUGGAAAAUGCGGGGUACAGAAGAGGUUUUUAUGAUAGCAUAAUUGCAGUGGAUGUCUUAAACAUGCAUUCAUUAUAGCCGGUCACCGCCAUUAUCAACGCCCUCAAACUUUAUUGUCUUUCUUUUUUUUUUUAUCAUUAAACAUAAAGCUAAAUAAAUGCAGACAAGAUACUUAGAUUGCUUGAUCCAUCACAGUCAAAUUUGUCUGUUUGCGAACUUCCACUUCUCCGACAAGGACUCAACUAGGACCCCUUGGGUGGCCGCUAUGCGCCAGAAAAGACCACACUAAAGUUAAAACAUGUCAGGGAUAAAAAGGUUGUCAUGAUAGCGUGAUUGCAACGAGCGAAUGCUUAAAAGCAUGGAAGAUGAAAGGAAACAUGCAAACUAAUUGUAGCCGGUUACUGCUAGUACUCCUAUAUAAUGAUCAACCUCCUCAAACUAGACCAAUAUUAUUGCCUUUCAGUUGAAAAAAAAGGGAUAUAGGAUAUAUCAUGACAUGACCACUUAUUCACAGAAUUCAUACCAAUAUAAAAAUAUCUAGACUGUCUAAUUAUUGUUCUGCUGUGGUUUGCACCCCUAUUCCUCUUGUCCGUUCUGUUCCUCUGUCUGUCCCCUAAAAUCCUUUUCUGUCCGGCUGCAUUUUCAAUAAACCUCAGAAUAAUUAAAAAAUAAGCAGAGGGAGUAUUUCAAACUCCUCGGUUGCACAGCAAAACUGUUCUAGCACAAAAGGCAUACAGAGCCAUCAUUCUGCAUGGCCAUGCAGCUGAACAGGACCGGUUAAAAAAAAGAGAGAGGGGACUUGGCGAGUAAGAAAAAAAUGGGUUUUUCGGUAUUAUUGCUUUUUUCUCUUCGCCCCACCUGUACCGUCUACCUUCCUGCAAUACCGUGAGAUUUCCCACAAUACUGCAAUAAUUAUCAUACCAUAAGAUUAAUAACAUGAUAAAACCAUAACCGUGAGGGCAAACAUUUGAGUGCGCUUGACCGAACACAGUAAGCUCAAGUAUGACACGACCAAGUGCUCUCAAAAGUUAACUUUGAGCCCUGGCCUAAUAUACAGUAUGUAUAUGUUUAUACACUAUAAGUAUUUGCUCACCCUCCUUGACUCACAUAUGAUUUUACGUGAUCUGCCAUUUGAAAUCCAUAUGGUUUAAUAUGAUGUUGGUCUUCCCUUUGGAGCUGUAACAGCCUUAACUUUUGUGGGAAGGCUUUCAACAAGGUUUAGGAGCGAGUGUAUGGGAAUUUUUGCCCAUUCUUCCAGGACCAUAUUUGUGUGGUCACACACUGAUGUUAAACGAGAAGGCCUGCGUUGCUGUCCACUUGAAAUCAACCCAAAGGUGUUCUAUCGGGUUGAGGGCAGUACUCUGUACAGGCGAGUCAAGUUCAUCCAUACCAAAUUCACUCAUCUAUGUCUUUAUGUAUCUUGCUUUGUGCACUGUUGCACAGAAAUGGUGGAAUAGGGCAGGGUAAUCCCCAAACUGUUUGGCUGUCCAAAAUCUCUUGAUAUGUUGAAGCAUUCAGAGUUCCUUUCACUGGAGCUCAGGGGCAAAUAUUUUGGAUAUUUCCAACUUUGUGGGAACAUUUUGGAGAUGGCCCAUUCCUGUUCCAACAUGACUGUGCAUCAGUGCACAUAUCAAGGUUCAUAAAGACGUGGAUGAGAGAGUCUGAUGUGGAUCAGAAUCAGAAUCAUCUUUAUUUGCCAAGUAUGUCCAAAAACACACAAGGAAUUUGUCUCCAGUAGUUGGAGUCGCUCUCGUAUGACAACACACAGUCAAUUGACAGAGAACACUUUGGAGACAUAAAGAUGAACUUGACUGCCCUGCACAAUCCUGACCUCAACCCUAAAGAACACUUUUGAAUGAAUUAGAGCAGAGACUGAGAGCCAGGCCUUCUUAUCCAACAUCAGUGUGUAACCUCACAAAUGCUCUUCUGGAAAAAUGGUCAUUAAUUCACAGAAUUACAUAUCGCUAAUUAAUUAUAUAACUUUUAAGGGAUGUAAAUUAUUCAUGAUUGAAUAAUGCAAAGUGACUAAUGCAAAGUGGAAAAGUGUUCUGUGGUCCGACGGGUCCACAUUUCAAGUUGUUUUUGGAAAUUGUGGACGUCAUGUCCUCCGCGCCAAAGAGGAAAAGAACCAUCCGGACUGUUAUGGACGCAAAGUUCAAAAGCCAGCAUCUGUGAUGGUAUGGGGCUGUGUUAGUGUCAAUGGCAUGGGUAACUUACACAUCUGUGAAGGCACCAUUAAUGCUGAAAGGUACAUACAGGUUUUGGAGAAACACAUGCUGCCAUCCAAGCAACGUCUUUUUCAUGGACGACCCUGCUAAUUUCAGCAAGACAAUGCCAAACCACCUUCUGCACGUGUUACAACAGCGUGGCUUCGUAGUAAAAGAGUCCGGGUACUAGACUCGCCUGCCUGCAGUCCAGACCUGUCUCCCAUUGAAAAUGUGUGGCGCAUUAUGAAGCGUAAAAUACGACAAUGAAGACCCCGGACUGUUGAACAGCUGAAGCUUUACAUCAAGCAAGAAUGGGAAAGAAUUCCACCUACAAAGCUUCAACAAUUAGUGUCCUCAGUUCCCAAACGUUUAUUGAAUGUUGUUAAAAGAAAAGGUGAUGUA